Ictalurus punctatus (channel catfish) is the source of this 7530-nucleotide long non-coding RNA. Lineage: Eukaryota; Metazoa; Chordata; Actinopteri; Siluriformes; Ictaluridae. The record is from Ensembl.
CUCACUCGCUCACAAAACUUUAUUUGAACGCGCUCGCGUAAAAUAUAAAUAAAUAAAUAAACAAAUCACAUGACAUUGUACAUUGUACACAUGACCCAAAUGAAAAAGUUUUUAAUAAUUCACGAGGCUUGAAAGUUUUUUUUCACUGUCACGCUAUGACAUCAUGUAUAAAAUAUAUCUUAGCCUGCAUAUACAGUAUAAAUAUAUAAACUAUAUAUUUAUACUAAACUCGCUAGGCUGAGCUCGUCGCGCAGUGAUGUAUUUAUAAUUUAGACAUCAUCAUCAUCAUCAUCAUCAUCAUCACCAUUCCGUUGUAUAAUAAAGAAGACGGGGGAAAUCAAAGCAGCGAGGGCUCCGAGAGGGACCGAUGGAGAGGUGAGCUCUGCAAUGGAGGACGGCUACUUCCUGUUCCUGCUGGAGUGACCCGCAGGUCUGAGGAGGAGCGAGAGACAGAGCGAGGGAGAGGGAGAGAGAGCACGAGAAACAGAGAGAGAGAGAGUGAGAGAGAGAGAGCGACAGCUAAGGCCAGCCAGUCACUGGAACCACAGGCUGAUGGACGGUUAAGCAGUUGGAGGGGUGCCAGCAGGGCUCAGACAGGCUGGCUUAAUCCUGAAGGAUUCCAUUUCCUGCAACCAGAAAGUCCAAAGGAAUCAAGCAGGCGUGUAGAGAGGAUCAGCGCAGGACAUCUGCACACCAGCCGCAGGUAACAUACACAAGCAGCAGCUCAGUUCACCACACACAAACACACACACAAAGAAGGGACCGCUGGGUCUCCCACAUCUGUUUCAUUACAAACUCUCGCUCUUUUUCACUUUUAACACUCCUCUCUACAGUCUGUUGUGCCAGAGUGCCAGUCCCAGGCUGCUCUGAUGGGUGGGCUAAGAGUGUGUGCGCUGGUCUGUGAAGUUGCCUGUUGCUGGCGAGCAAAGUGUGUGUGUGGUGUGUGUGUGUGUGUGUGUGUGUGUAUGUGGGUGGCUGGGGGUAAUUGACUGGAUGAAGAGGACUGGCUGGCUGGAGCUCUCCUUAAGUCUCUGAAGGUUUGGACUUUAGAGCUAGCGAUUGCAUGAACAUAGGCAAAGGCUGGGCCAAAUGCCAGGCAUGCAUGUGUGUACGUGUGUGAGAGUGUGUCCCCUUCCUCAGAGCAGUGGAGACACCAUCUGCCCGCUUGUCCUACAGGACUGGGCCUGUCCCCGUCGGCCAUCUCAGUCCAGGCUCAGUGGGUGAGGGACUGGGCUCCUUGUGCCAGGAUUUUGGAGGCUGGGGGGUACCAGGCACCGACACUCGUCCCCUCAGUGUCCACCUGCGCCAGGCAGCACACUCACACUGCCAAUGUGGGAAGCCUCUUAGGCCAACACUCUGUCUGUUUCACUCUCAUUCUCUUCCUAUCUGAACUGGGAACACAAGCUCCAACUACACAGUACUCCAAAUCAGGAUGUCCUAAUUAGAUUCAUGUUAUAUGGCACUAACAAGGCCUGCUGUUUAUGUGUUGUGUAGAAAGCACCAAGGAACUGUAUAGCCUUUAAAAUCAGCAUAAAAUACCUUUCCAAUAUUAAAUGGAAGGCAAAGAGCAGUUAGUGGCCUGUUUGUGGUGUGUACUUUAAUAGAUGGUUAACCAUAUACAUCACCAUUAUAAUCAGCUUUGUUUUCUGCUUUUGGUGUAUGGAAUUGUGUGUGUGUGUGUGUGUGUGUGUGUGUGUGUGUGUGUGUGUGUGUGUGUGUGUGUGUGUGUGUGUGUGCAUAUUCAGGUAUGAUUCACUGAAGCUGGUUAAGUAAUAUACCAUUUUUACAUUUUUAAUUACUUUUGUAUUUGAAUUUGCAGGAUAAUGCUUUUUUGAUAGUUUGUUUAUGUUGCAAUACAACACUUAAAAUGUAUAACAACUUGCUACAUUUUUCACAUACUUUUCCUUUGGAUGCAAUGACUUAGUUGACCAGAGCUGAACACACACAGAUUUGCACACUACUGUAAUACACUAGAUACUGUAUGGACAAAAUAAAUAAUUCUGCUGAAAUUAUUGAAGAUUACACCGAUUUUUUUUUAUUAUUACGCCUAUCUCUAGAUUGUUUAUUUUCAGUAACUGUUUUAUCCUGCUGAAAGUCACAGUGGAGCCAAAGCCUGUCCAGGGUAAGAAGAAACACACUCUUAUCCAGAGAAAUACACGUCAAAUGGAAGCAUACACAACAUACACAUAUUCAUGCAUUCAUUUACUCCUAGGGAUGAAACCAGAGAACCCAGUGAAAACCCACAUGUGGAUACAUGGAAAACAUGCACAGACAGUACGGACUUGUGAGGCAGCAAUGAUAACUGAGUUGGCCAGUUAAAAAAAAUAUUUAAAUAAAUGUUCAAUAAUUUAAAAAAAUUGUAAUGUGAUUUGUAAUUUAAUUUAGUAUCCAUCACUAAUAAACAUGCAUCACAUCACAUAUGGAACAAAGGGACAUUAGCUUUAUAUGGUUGCAGAUAAUUGUGGAUAUUUUUUAUUUCUCUAUAUACGUACAACUUCCUGACGUUUCUCAUUAAGUGAUAUGCAUUUCCUGAAAUAAACAUUUUCAGAUUUUUUUCGCAUAUUUGGGACAAUAUGCGUCAUGUGACAUCAUCACAACACGCAUUCAGCCAAAGCCCUCUUUGAUUCACGUGUGUCGAACAGGAGUACAGCUAGAAGGUCUCAUUUACCAACCAACAUCAUUGCGAAAGACAUUUUUGCAAUUUCUUGUACUAGCAAUUUUGCCAAUUCAAGUAGAUUUCUGCAAAAAAAAAAAAAAGCACAAACAUCUCCACAAAUUGCACCACAAAUUUUGAAAAAGCCACCGCAAAAUCAAGCAUUUUUGGCUGCAAUAAUCACAAAAAAAAAAAACCUCUGCAAAAUCAUGUACAGGCUGAUUAGAAGCUAAAUGUUUAUAAAUAGAUACAGAACCAGGACAUGACAGAAGCAGGAUGUAGCUGUGCUGUGUAGGUGAAGCUUUGUCUCACCUGCUCUCGUCUGUGUGUCCAUACCUCUGUGUGGGCUGCAGUGGCCUCUGACUCAUUUAAGUGUGCUUUCCAAGAGAAAUUUCAGUUUUGUUUUUCUGUGUAGAACCUUGGAAAGACCCUUAGCAGAGCCUUAUUUUAGAUCCAUCGUGUCCAGGGCACAGGGAGUCGCAUGGCACACUGUCAACAAAUAUUUAUUCUGAGCUUUGAGAGUGAAACUUUCUGGGUUCUCUGGAAAGAUUGGUGGCGAGAGUCAGCCUGCAGAGUUUUGACCUUGCAUAGGCCUUUCUAGUUGACUGCAUCGAUCUCACAUACAUAUACACAUACAUGCACAAAGAGAGAGAAAUGCAGCUGAGUAUUGAAAAUACCCCUGCCUGUUGUGAAUCUUUUAAGUGAAGCAGUGUGAGUGGAGGCUGUAGGAGGUGGCCGGGCUCUUGGCAGGGCAACCAGGGUGAAGUCUUUGUGGCUGCCAGUCUGGAGAGGUCCAUCUCUGCCAGGCAGACGUGGAGGAAUCAGGCAACUGGCUGUGUGACACAAGAAAGAUUGAGCUGUCAGCUUACAGCCUGGUCCAAAUACAGCCCCCCUUAAAUAUAUCUGAGCAAACGCACUGGAUGAUGGCCAUGCAAGCACGGCUCUGAGUUUGGCCUCUUUAGGAGUGCUGGGUAAGCUUUUGCAAGAGUGUGCUCUUUUCCACUGGAGAUGAGCUAUUGUUUCUGGCUCCAAUUUUUGGAGCAUCUGCCAGAGGAACCUUCUAUAAUGGCAGCUAGGGAGGUGAUGAAAAGAUUAGUAUCCCCGGCUUUUUUUUUGUUGCCCUUUACUUUAUAAGAUAGAAGAUGAUCUACCACAUAUGUCUGCCCUGAGAAGCAUCAAAUCUCUAAAGGCUUGAAAAGCUAAAGACUAUAGAAGGUAAGUUAAACUUUGCCAUAGAUAGUCUACUCGUAUAUCUUUUGUUAUCAAGGUUACUCUGGUUUUUCUCAGUUGACUAGGAAUGCUGUUGUUAUUGAAAGGAUGUUUUGAGCCUCCCAAAGGAAGCACUGCCCUGCUGAAUGACCUCUGACCCUUGAGCUCAGUGGUCCAGGGUGAAGUGUUAAUCCAGCUGUGGGACCUGUGAGUUUAUGACAACUGGGAUUGUUUGGAUUUAAAUAGGCUUUAUUUUCCAUCCUCUUUCUUAUGUCGUUCCUUUACAGUCAAGAACAAUGUCAGACCCAUGUGCUGGGUGUCAGAUCUGAAUGUCCACAUUGUGUGAGUUGGUGUGGACACACCAUACACACCAGCCAUAUUGUGCAUGUAGGAAAAAACACAAUCCUUUUAAUCACUUCGACUUCAGAGAUACAAUACGUUCCCACUCCCUAGAACUAGAAGUUAUGUAGCCUUUAGAGCAGACAUACUUUGAUCUCACUUCCUGCUUUUCAGUGAAAACUAAACCUUUACAUAUGCCUUUAAUCAGUAUUGCCAACUUAGUGGCUUUAUUGUUAGAUAUUAGACCUCAUUAGUGAACUUAUUCUGAAAAGUUUAAAUGAAAUUGAAACAAAUUUAGCGACUUUUGGAUAUUAGUGAUGGUCCUGCACUUUACAUGACUCUCCAGCUCACAUCACAGCUGCUGUUAUACAAGUUGAGAGGGAGCAGGUUUAGUUGACUUAUGACCAGUGUGUACAGCCUGACUGAGGUGCCGGAUGACCGAUCACUGAUCAACACUGUUCCCAACAACCAAUCACUGAUCACCUCUGUUCCCAACGAGCAAUCACUGAUCACCAUUGUUCCUAAUGACUAAUCACUGAUCACUAUUGUUUGUCCUACCAAAGUUCUUCUUUGAUGUUUGCUUUAAACUUUUGUUAAAAACAAAGUUAAUAAAAGCAAGUUAUUCCACCUGUAACCAUUUCCUAACUACUCACUAUUUGUGUUUUCAGAAAAUAUUCCUUCUUCAUAUAACCCAUUCUGCAAAUGAUCAUGACAAAUCAAUGUUGUUGUUCUUUCAGCUGGUCCUAUUAGGGGUCACCCCAGUAGAUCAUUGGUCCAUACAUUUAAUUUGGCACUGGUUUUUAUGCCAUUUUAUCCAUUCAUGGGACCGACACUGAGUGCAACCCAGUGGCUGAGCUGGUUUCCUGUCCAGGAAUCAAACCUGGGAUGGGAUCCUUAGCCGCUGGACCACCAUAGUGUGAUGAAUCAGUGUAUACAGUAUAUGCAAAUUUUGUAUGAUGAUAUAUUGUGACUUUUUUGCCACUUUUUGAGCAUGCGUUCUCUAUGUUAUUAUUUAUUUUUUUUGAUGGAUUGUUUGUUUUUAAAUAUCCACAAUAAUCUUAUUACAAGCAUCUUUCACUGGUUUCUCUUGUAUCAAGUUCAUCAUCAAGGACCAGUACAAAUAUAAAUAAAUUGUUCUCAUCAUAUAAUUUUUCAGUCAUAAUUUACACUAAUUAUAAUGUAAAUCAUAAUACAAAGUCAUUGCCCUUAUAUAUAAUGUUCAUGACUACUUAAUGAGUUGUGUCUGUCAAUCACAGCUGACUAUCACACCUUUCAAGAAUGCAGGCAUAGACCUGGUCCAGGAGGAAGCCACAGCUCAGUAGGAAGUGUAUGCUGGAGCUUAGGAAUGUGUAAUACAUUUUUCAGCCAGCUGCUCACGAUGGAGGUCUGUUCUAUUAUAUUUUCAUUAUUCCAUAUGAACAUUAUUAAUGUGAGAUUAAGGAGCAACUAACCUGCCAAUAGGAGAGCUACUUUUUUAUGCUUGAGUAGUAGGUUUGAUUAAAGGCUAUUCUGGGAUCUGAAGAGGGAAUAAUUUGAGCACCCUAAUGCCAAGGCAUGAACGUUAAACACGAGCAGGAGCGUUUCAUGUUUCUCCAUGACACACUGCAAUCUAAUGGGCCAAAGCCAAGAUCCUAUAGAUUUUCAAGGUUCUCGCCUUUCAUUUGGAUGGCUGUGAAAUGUCUUGCCAUGUAUAUGUAUGGAAUGGACAGCUGCCAAAUACAGAGGACAAAAUUCGGAGUUAACUGCUAGAGAGGCCUUGUCACAAUUUAUAAACUUGAAAAGUUUCAGAGGGGUGCCCUACCGAGCACUAGGCAGCCCCACAUGCACAGAUCGCCAGUGUGCAUGGCCUGGGAGAGGAGUGGAAUGCACCAUAUUAACCAACUCUCCUAGGCGCUCUCUAAACACACUUCCAUGUCCAUGCUAUUAUCCAUUUUUCACGUCCAAUUGCUCUGUUAUGGUAAUCGUCAGAAGCGCACCAUGGCGUAAUUACUUACAGCUGACUUAAGAAAGGAAUAUUCCACCCCCCCAUGGUCUGACUUCUGGCUUUUUUUUCUGCACUAUUAACCCAUUCCUGUUUAUUAAUGCCUUCCUGCUAAUGCGCAGAGGCCACUUUGUGAGAUCCAUCAUCAUGCGGGGCCUAUUAGCAAAAUGGCCCCACUAUUGGGCAAUAUUUCUCUGUCCUGCAGCUCUCUUGCUGAUCUUCUCUCUGCUUUGGGGUUUAAUUACUUCAGUAAAUGUACUCCAGUCACAUUAACCUCUUGUUGCUUCAUGUUACUAAAUGUCCUGUUGUGUGCAGCUAGGAGCAGAGCUUCUUUUCCUGGUAAAACCACUUCAGCUCUGGAUUCUUCUUAGAACAAAGAUCUUCAAAGAUCAACACUUUGGUGUUGUACAUCAUUUACAAGAAGGCAUAUGGCGAACACAUCAUGGAAUGUAAUAGAUUGAAAGCCAUUACGGUUAUGAUUGCCAGGUUAAACGUUACAUGUUUUAAAUCAUGCAAGACACAAUAAAGUGACAAAGCAAUUUAUGUUCUCAUUGAACAGCCUGUAUGUGCAUGCCAUUGCAUUAAAUUUUGCAAAUUAAGUUAAUUCCAAGUUUUUGUACGGCCUUUUGCUGAAAUAUCACUCCGUUUCUCACUUGAGGCUCUGCUCUUCAACUUUCCUGUCCUCAAUCAUAACCUGAACAAUUUUGUAUUCACACCAAUUUGUCAUUUAGAGCAAUGCUAAUAAGCCCAGAUUUUAUUGCAUUAAGUAUUGUCAGUUCCACUGUGCAAAGCAAAGCCUAGAUCCAGUGGCGCUCCUUUGAUUCCCAGUCAUAUACAUCACCUUGCAAUUACUGGACCUGGUCUGGAAACUGUCAAGCAUGACUGCAGCGUUAUUGGAAUUAUUGCAAUUACACACAGGUAAUUGACCUGCUAUCAGUGAAGAUGUUAAAUUGUGCCUCAGUGGUGUGAGUCCAUGUUGAGCUCAUUUCAUUCACCAUUCCUCUCUCUCUCUCUCUCUCUCUCUCUCUCUCUCUCUCUCUCUCUAUCGCACACACACAACACACACACACACACAUAUUGCUUCAGUACACGAGCAGCAGUGGGAGGGAAUAGAGUUAUUGCAUUAUUCCUAUACUCUGCACACCAAUAAAACACCACUGUAAUUCAAACUGUGUGGAAACGAACGUCUUUUUCAGUGAUGUCAACUCACCGUCUUUCUGUAAUCCUACUUGCCUGCUUGCUUCAUUAAAGGGUUUGUUUGCACCGCUAAACCCCAUAGAGAGGUAGAUUCGAAGAAAUAAAGCCCACAAAGUUGGCCUUGCACUCUAGAGCAUUAUAACAGGCCCAG